Molecule: long non-coding RNA, 1307 nt
Organism: Bubalus bubalis (water buffalo)
Lineage: Eukaryota; Metazoa; Chordata; Mammalia; Artiodactyla; Bovidae
Exons: 3
Source: RefSeq, a predicted model, not a curated record
ACUUUAAAAAAUGCCUCCCAUUCAUCUGGCUUGGUCGGUUUGAUUAAUGAAGAUGACAAAGAAACUCUUGUUUCUGCAAUCCACAGCCACUUGGUUCGGGUUCAGUGGGCCCAGGGAGAGGCAUCCAGACCUAAAUCUGGUCUUUCUUUCCUACUUAAAAAUCCAAAGAGGCUGAGUGAAAAUCCAGUUUUGUCAAUACCAUCUUAACCAGCUUUGAAGAACAAUGAAAAUUAGUUUAUAUCUCAGAAAUAAAUUCAUACCUGUGCUGUUCAAUGGUUUCCAAAUUUAAAGUUUUCAUAUUUAAUCAGUAAAUCCACAUUCAGGUGCCUCUAUCAAUGGGAUUUCCCAGGCAAGAAGACUGGAGUGGGUUGCCUUUUCGUUCUCCAGGGGAUCUUCCUAGAUCAAGGAUCAAACCCAUGUCUCCUACGCUGGCAGGAGGGUUCUUUACCACUGAGCUACCAAGGAAGCCCCUUAAAUAAGCUACCUUGUAAUUUGCUAAACUCUUCUUUCUCAAAUGGACUCACGUUGUUCUAAACACCAGGCAAGGAUUUGAAACUGUCAAGAAAAGAAUCCAAAUAAAUAAAGGUCUUGUUUCUCCUUAAUCCUACCACUACCCCAUUAAGUCCCUAAAAAAGUGAAGCGUGGCAAGUUAAUUCUUUUUUUUUUUUUUCAAUUUAACCUGGACACUGACAGUAGGCUUGUUGAUGGUUUAGUCAGCAACAGGGUUGAGCAAAAGUAAUUCUGAAAUUCUCGUGUAAUUCUUGCUCUACAGUGUGGAAUCCAAUCAAUGCAAAAUGUCGUGUUCUGUGUUGUAUUUUCCUACCUCCUUUAAACAUUAAGUUGAAUUUUUGAAUGCAUGGCUUUUAUAUGUUAAGAGUGAAAUUAAUUCAUCCAUGAGCAUGUUGUAAGAAACAAUAAGAAAACUAUUAUCUAAAGAUAGUUAUAAAACUUUAAAAAUUUUUAUCAUUACUUUAUUUCACUUCUUGCUCUAAUCCUGACAGGCACAAACUCAACCCCUCAACCAAUCUGAUAGAGAAAGCAUUACUAUCUAAAAAAACAAAUCUUAUCUUUCACUCUUAUUUCCAUACCAAAAUAGUUUAUUAUGGUGUUUUUUUUUUUCCCCAGAAUCUUCUUUUUUUCACCUAGGGAACAAAAUCCUAACUAUGGAUUCAAAAUGACAGAUUUUGUGGGUUUUACUAUUCAGAGAUGAUGUCAUUUGUGGGGAAUUGUUGGGUAAACCAUACACUCUUUUCAGAAACCUGCAAUUACCUCUCUGAAUAAAGAGAUCAAUGUCAUGUUUCUAGAAA